RNAcentral lists this ribosomal RNA (460 nucleotides) under uncultured bacterium. RNAcentral describes it as "partial 16S ribosomal RNA". It matches the Rfam family "Bacterial small subunit ribosomal RNA", at positions 338 to 795 of the family's 1533-position model. The record is from RNAcentral.
CCUACGGGUGGCAGCAGUGAGGAAUAUUGGUCAAUGGACGCAAGUCUGAACCAGCCAUGCCGCGUGCAGGAAGACGGCUCUAUGAGUUGUAAACUGCUUUUGUACGAGGGUAAACGCAGAUACGCGUAUCUGUCUGAAAGUAUCGUACGAAUAAGGAUCGGCUAACUCCGUGCCAGCAGCCGCGGUAAUACGGAGGAUUCAAGCGUUAUCCGGAUUUAUUGGGUUUAAAGGGUGCGUAGGCGGUCGGAUAAGUUAGAGGUGAAAUCCCGAGGCUCAACUUCGGAAUUGCCUCUGAUACUGUUCGGCGAGAGAGUAGUUGCGGUAGGCGGAAUGUAUGGUGUAGUGGUGAAAUGCUUAGAGAUCAUACAGAACACCGAUUGCGAAGGCAGCUUACCAAGCUACUUCUGACGUUGAGGCACGAAAGCGUGGGGAGCAAACAGGAUUAGAUACCCGAGUAGUC